UGGGGAAUAUUGGACAAUGUGGCGAAAGCCUGUAUCCAGCCAUGCCGCGUGUAGUGAAGAAGGUCUUCGGAUUGUAAAGCACUUUAAGUUGGGAGGAAGGGCAGUAAGUUAAUACCUUGACUGUUUUGACGUUACCGACAGAAUAAGCACCGGCCUAACUCUGUGC
This 166-nucleotide ribosomal RNA is filed under the name uncultured Pseudomonas sp. RNAcentral's name for it is "partial 16S ribosomal RNA". It matches the Rfam family "Bacterial small subunit ribosomal RNA", at positions 355 to 508 of the family's 1533-position model. Lineage: Bacteria; Pseudomonadati; Pseudomonadota; Gammaproteobacteria; Pseudomonadales; Pseudomonadaceae. The record is from RNAcentral.